AGCCGCGGUAAGACGUAGGGGGCGAGCGUUGUCCGGAAUUACUGGGCGUAAAGGGCGCGUAGGCGGCAAGGUAAGUUAGAUGUGAAAACUCAGAGCUUAACUCCGAGAUUGCAUCUAAAACUGCCUAGCUUGAGUGCAUUAGAGGAGAGCGGAAUUCCUAGUGUAGCGGUGAAAUGCGUAGAUAUUAGGAAGAACACCAGUGGCGAAGGCGGCUCUCUGGGAUGUAACUGACGCUGAGGCGCGAAAGCUGGGGGAGCGAACGGGAUUAGAUACCCCGGUAGUCCCAGCCGUAAACGAUGGUCACUAGGUGUAGGAGGUAUCGACCCCUUCUGUGCCGCAGCAAACGCAAUAAGUGACCCGCCUGGGGAGUACGGCCGCAAGGCUAAAACUCAAAGGAAUUGACGGGGGCCCGCACAAGCGGUGGAGCAUGUGGUUUAAUUCGAUGCAACGCGAAGAACCUUACCAGGACUUGACAUGUAUUGGAAGUUUUCCGAAAGGGAGAUGUGCCUCGUAAGAGGAGCCAAUACACAGGUGGUGCAUGGCC
Molecule: ribosomal RNA, 544 nt
Filed under: uncultured archaeon
Lineage: Archaea
Description: bacterial SSU rRNA
Rfam family: Bacterial small subunit ribosomal RNA
Source: RNAcentral